CGCGGGGUGGAGCAGCUCGGUAGCUCGCUGGGCUCAUAACCCAGAGGUCCAUGGUUCAAAUCCAUGCCCCGCUACUA
This 77-nucleotide transfer RNA is filed under the name Bifidobacterium bifidum. RNAcentral describes it as "tRNA-Met". It matches the Rfam family "tRNA". Rfam says of the family: Transfer RNA (tRNA) molecules are approximately 80 nucleotides in length. Their secondary structure includes four short double-helical elements and three loops (D, anti-codon, and T loops). Lineage: Bacteria; Bacillati; Actinomycetota; Actinomycetes; Bifidobacteriales; Bifidobacteriaceae. RNAcentral also lists the same sequence under 59 other names. The record is from RNAcentral.